RNAcentral lists this ribosomal RNA (39 nucleotides) under Alternaria bornmuelleri. Its description in RNAcentral is "partial 18S ribosomal RNA". The record is from RNAcentral. Lineage: Eukaryota; Fungi; Ascomycota; Dothideomycetes; Pleosporales; Pleosporaceae. RNAcentral also lists the same sequence under 1 other name.
UCUCCGUAGGUGAACCUGCGGAGGGAUCAUUACACAAAU